This 517-nucleotide long non-coding RNA is filed under the name Rosa chinensis. RNAcentral describes it as "sRNA RchiOBHm_Chr5g0025291". The record is from RNAcentral. Lineage: Eukaryota; Viridiplantae; Streptophyta; Magnoliopsida; Rosales; Rosaceae.
AUGUUGCUUCUUUCUCCAGAGGUGUUGCGAGUGCAGAGAAGAAGCCUGGUCAUCUUCUUGUACUUGUUUAUGGCAUAUUGGCGAGGAAAUAUAUGCAUAUAAUUGUGAAAGUAGUUAUCUUCGAGUUGUUUGACUUCGUUAGUCUUGGUUAUAAUUUUCGGAUUUAUAUAAGGUCAAGGAUUGCAUGAUUGCUCUUCGUUUGGUUUUGUGUAUCCGUGAUUAUGCAUUUCUUUUGCAUUCCCCCCUGAAUUGAUAUCAAGUUAACUGAUUCUUAGUAACGCAGCCCAAGUGAUUGGACAUACGUGUGUUACUGCUGUGCUUUAUUUUCAGUCUAUGUUAAAUCAUUGAAUAUGUAUAUAUGUGUCCUGUUGGUAUGUUUUGUUUGUGUUUUUAUGUGUGAACUGAAAUAUAUGUCCAGUUUCUAAAUUAUUUAUAUGUUUUUGUGCAGGUUCUUUGUUUGGUGAAGACUUGAUUGUGCAAACCUUUGCGAGUGUUGAAUUACAUACAACUUUUUGGG